Molecule: ribosomal RNA, 245 nt
Filed under: uncultured Eubacteriales bacterium
Lineage: Bacteria; Bacillati; Bacillota; Clostridia; Eubacteriales
Description: uncultured Clostridiales bacterium partial 16S ribosomal RNA
Rfam family: Bacterial small subunit ribosomal RNA
Source: RNAcentral
UACGUAGGGGGCGAGCGUUGUCCGGAAUUACUGGGCGUAAAGAGCGUGUAGGCGGAUAUUUAAGUCAGGUGUGUAAACUAUCGGCUCAACCGGUAGAUUGCAUUUGAUACUGGGUAUCUUGAGGGUAUGAGAGGGAAGUGGAAUUCCUAGUGUAGCGGUGAAAUGCGUAGAUAUUAGGAGGAACACCAGUGGCGAAGGCGACUUCCUGGCAUACAACUGACGCUGAGACGCGAAAGCGUGGGGAG